CUCCCGGAAGCCGUCAGGGAAUUGGGGCCGGCGGGAGCAGCGCCCCGGCCCUGCUUUUCCUCAGAGGAAUUACGGGGCGUUCCUUUUCCCGCGGCUGCCUUUGCGUUCAAUUUUUUAGGCUGUUUUCAGAUAUAAAAGUGCCUGGAAGCACUCGCUUCGUCGAGUCAGCCCGGUGACCCGGAGUUUCAACCGGUGAACAGAGAUCUUUUUUCACUGAUACAAACGGAGUGUGUCGAGCAGGAAAGAUGUGAGAUUAAAAGGUGUUCCGAUACCCCUCGUUGCGCCGCAGUAAGGAGCCAGCUCCCAUCGCGGCUGUCAGGCAUCCCUGGAUCACAGCGGGCUCCCGCUGCCAGGCUGCCGCGAGGAAACCUUGUGGAAACACUGUUGUCAGUGUUUCAGUUUUUCCUUGUGGAAAAGCAGCUGCGGUGCCCGGAGCAGCUCCGGACCGCCGGGAGAUUUGACCUCCGUCGCUUUGGUGCCUAGAGAGGCUGACCUGGAGCAGAGACUAGACAGAGCAAAAAAAGAAUAAAAUAGGACUCAGAGAUGGAUUCACCAGAAGGAGCCACAAUUAGAAGUGAGCAGAAAUUCAGAAAAUUCUUAAAAAGUCUCAUAAGAAAGCAGCCUCGGGACCUUCUCCUGGUGAUUGGGACAGGAGUGAGUGCUGCAGUAGCCCCAGGAAUCCCAGCACUCUGUUCCUGGAGAAGCUGCAUUGAGGCUGUCCUUGGAGCAGCUGAGCAGCUGGAGGUGCUGCACCCGGGGGAUGUCGCUGAAUUCCGUAAGAAAGUAAUCAAAGAGAGAGACCUGCUUGUGGUUGCACAUGAUCUCAUCAGGAAGAUGUCACCACGAACCGGAGACACGAAGCCCAACUUCUUCCAGGAUUGCUUAAUGGAGGUGUUUGAUAAUUUAGAACAACACAUUCAGAACCCUGUGGUUCUGCAAUCCAUCCUGAGGCUCAUGGAGAGAGGCACAAUGGUUCUGACUACAAACUAUGAUAAUUUGCUUGAAAUAUUUGGUCAGCAACAGGGUAAACCUAUGGAAUCUUUAGACCUUAAAGAUAAGGAUAAGGAGGUUCUUCAGAACUUGUACCGAACCAAGUCUUUUUUGUUUUUGGGUUGUGGAGAGACUCUGCGUGACCAGAUAUUCCAAGCUCUUUUUCUUUACACAGUAAAGAACAAAGUGGAUCUAGAACAUUACAUGUUGGUGCUUAAAGAAAAUGAAGACCACUUUUUUAAGCUGCAGGCAGAUAUGUUGCUGCAUGGAAUAAAAGUGGUGUCCUAUGGGGACUGCUUCCAACAAUUCCCAGAGUAUGUCCAGGAUCUGACUGCUCAAAUCUGCAAACAGAAAAGUCCAGAUGCUGAUCGGGUGGACAGUACAACGCUGUUGGGAACUUCAUGUGUGGACUGUGCUAAAAGGAAGUUAGGAGAAAGCAGCACUGAUUCUCCUAAGAGGGUCAAGCAGCCAGAUAAUGGUAUACCCACUCUUGAAUGAAAAAGCCCCAAGCACACAAGGCCCACCCCAGAAGCUUUUUAACAGUAGAUGUUUUACAUCUGCUGCAUGGAAAGUUUUGAGCUGGUAUUUCCAUGAUUUUAAAUGGAAUAAAAUUGUACAUACUAGCUUUCUCUUUCCUAAAGCCAUAAAUGUGUCACAUGUGUAAAGCUUGAGAGUCAAAUGAGUCACUCGCCGUGGCACUGCCAGACCACUUGGACAGAACCUGCAGGGUCAGACAGAAGCAGAUGCAACUUCUCUUUGCAUUUAUGUGAAGCCACCUGGACCAAACUCUUCCCCCUUCCCCAGCUGAAGCCAAAGAACAUUUGUGCCUCUUGGCACACCUGCCUUUGAAAUAGAGGGGCUUCAGUUCUCCCAGCAGCUGAACUGCAGGUGUGUUUCUGGAUUCUUCAGGGGUCUUGCAGGCUUUAGUCUCUGAACCCCAAGUCCUGCAGAACAGUGCUGUUCCACAUUUACGGAACCUACAGCAUGAUGACCCACCUGCUUUCCACUUUUGACAUGAGGAUUUUUUUUCCUUUGGUAAGGCACAAGAUCACCAGGGGAAGGAAGGCUGGAAGAGUGCUGCAUCUGCAGGGACAGACUACAGGGCAGGCACUCCCUGACCUCUCUGCAGUGGGUUCCUGUGGAAAUGUUUUAAAUACUGCUACAUUACAGACUGUGCUGCCUUCUGCUUGGACAGCACAUAACAGUCUUGCAGUGGAAUGAAACCCAGUCAGUAUCAAAGGAUCCAUCUGCAGGUAAUUCCUAGUGUUUAAGUUUGCCUUUGGUUGAACUGCUCCAAGGGUGAAGGGUGAGGCCCAGCAGUACCUGCUACUUCCCCCAUCUACAUCAUCUUGGCAGCACGACAGAAUUCCCACUGCAGCUGCCAGCACUGGUACACACCUGUAGUUUUCUAGUCAGCUGACUCUCACCAGGAGAGCAAGUGUCUACAGGAGAGCAUGUCCAGGGCUGUUCAUUGUGCUGAUGCCAGCACACGUACCUGGCAGGACUGAAGGAUUACUCCUGUCAGGUUUUCCUGUGGCUGUCUCCUAAGGAUUUCUGUUAUGCCUCCUGAGAGCAGGUCACAUGGUAUUGGGUUUUACAGGAAGGGCAAGGGGUGGGUCUGGCAGGUGACCUUUUUCUCUGAACUGUGGUUUGGUAGGUCUUAACUCCCCUGCCAAACAAGCACCCCGUGCAGCUCCGUGGGACAAAAAGCUUCAGUGAGGUGCACUGUUAG
RNA transcript from Ficedula albicollis (Collared flycatcher), 2722 nucleotides. It is a transcript of the gene named family with sequence similarity 118 member A, with no coding region annotated. The record is from RefSeq and is a predicted model, not a curated record. The transcript has 8 exons. NCBI's taxonomy places the organism in Eukaryota, Metazoa, Chordata, Aves, Passeriformes, Muscicapidae.